GCUUGUGUAGCUCAGGGGUAGAGCACGUCCUUGGUAAGGACGAGGUCGUGGGUUCAAUUCCCACCACAAGCU
Molecule: transfer RNA, 72 nt
Filed under: Roseimicrobium gellanilyticum
Lineage: Bacteria; Pseudomonadati; Verrucomicrobiota; Verrucomicrobiia; Verrucomicrobiales; Verrucomicrobiaceae
Also listed under: 1 other name
Description: tRNA-Thr
Rfam family: tRNA
About the family: Transfer RNA (tRNA) molecules are approximately 80 nucleotides in length.
Source: RNAcentral